UCUGUUAAGACAAAACCUGCUGUGGCUUCUCAAGAACACGGGUCGUUUCUGUUUUUCUCCUCUUCUUUCAGGUUCAGUUUCUUCAUCCAGGACCAAAUCCGCCUUGCCCGAGCUUGUUUCUGAGAGAAAAGUUGUCGGUUGAUGUAGCUAACACUUGAAACUCAAAGAGCGGGAGCUCCUUGAGCUUGACUUGGUUAGAAGCAGACUCAUUACCACUUAACGCAGACCGCAGCAACAAAUGCAACGCCUACCACUGGUGCUGUGAUCAUUAUAGCUCGCUUGCCAUGUGUUUCUACAAGAUUUGGUGAGAAAACAUAAGUCAGUUAAGUAAAAUUGAAAGGAGAGGAAAACAAGUGAGACUAGUAGAGGUUUUUACUCACGGAGUUCAGAAUGCGCAAGUCGAAUAUUAAGAUCAA
Molecule: long non-coding RNA, 416 nt
Organism: Eutrema salsugineum
Lineage: Eukaryota; Viridiplantae; Streptophyta; Magnoliopsida; Brassicales; Brassicaceae
Exons: 3
Source: RefSeq, a predicted model, not a curated record